UUCCCAAACUUGCAUCUCUCUAACUUCUUUCUAGUUUCCCUCUCCCCAAACAUCAACCUCAAUUAGAGCCUCAAGUCUAGGGAGAAUUCACCAAGGAUUUCAUCUCAAAUUCAUGGAAAAAUCAUCACUCAGGUUUCGGCCAUUGAAUAGCUGCUAGGCCACUUUGCAAGGAUACUUGGACUUCUUCCACCAAGUAGUUGGUGAGUCCUCCAAGUUCGAGGAUGGCGCCUUUUGAUCUACCCCGGUAGUAUUGCUAUAGUCUAAAGACAUUCAUUUCCCUCCUAUUGUUGAAGAUAUUGUUGUAAUACCUAUAUGGCAAUUAUGGAUCUGUAUAAGGGCUAAGCCCAAAUGUUCUACUUUGUUUUAGAUGGUUUAAUGUGAGGCAGUAUAAUUAGACUAAAUCUUUAUAUGUUGGCUACAUUAUCUAAAGGAGAAGCCUAUGUAAGUGUCCUAUGCGAAGAGUCUAUGUAAACUCCAUAUGUAUGCAUAAAGUAAGCGAGAGGUAUAUGUAUACCUCAAUAUGUAUAAAGUUUUAAAUUUUUCUA
Molecule: long non-coding RNA, 545 nt
Organism: Solanum lycopersicum (tomato)
Lineage: Eukaryota; Viridiplantae; Streptophyta; Magnoliopsida; Solanales; Solanaceae
Source: RefSeq, a predicted model, not a curated record